GCCUACACAUGCAAGUCGAACGGUAACAGGAAGCAGCUUGCUGCUUCGCUGACGAGUGGCGGACGGGUGAGUAAUGUCUGGGAAACUGCCUGAUGGAGGGGGAUAACUACUGGAAACGGUAGCUAAUACCGCAUAACGUCGCAAGACCAAAGAGGGGGACCUUCGGGCCUCUUGCCAUCGGAUGUGCCCAGAUGGGAUUAGCUAGUAGGUGGGGUAACGGCUCACCUAGGCGACGAUCCCUAGCUGGUCUGAGAGGAUGACCAGCCACACUGGAACUGAGACACGGUCCAGACUCCUACGGGAGGCAGCAGUGGGGAAUAUUGCACAAUGGGCGCAAGCCUGAUGCAGCCAUGCCGCGUGUAUGAAGAAGGCCUUCGGGUUGUAAAGUACUUUCAGCGGGGAGGAAGGCGAUAAGGUUAAUAACCUUGUCGAUUGACGUUACCCGCAGAAAAAGCACCGGCUAACUCCGUGCAGCAGCCGCGGUAAUACGGAGGGUGCAAGCGUUUAUCGGAAUUACUGGGCGUAA
Molecule: ribosomal RNA, 526 nt
Filed under: uncultured bacterium
Lineage: Bacteria
Description: bacterial SSU rRNA
Rfam family: Bacterial small subunit ribosomal RNA
Source: RNAcentral